CAACAACAGAAAGGAGGUGAUCUCGUGUCUCAUUGUCCGUCUCACUCGUCGUCGAGCGCCAAGGCCGAGGUCUCUUUCUUCGCGGAAGGGAUUUGGGUCCGCUAAGGACUGCGCCGUGGUGUCGACGACACACGGAUUGACAAUGGAAGGGCUGCCGGAAACGGCGGCCCU
RNAcentral lists this small RNA (171 nucleotides) under Azospirillum oryzae. RNAcentral's name for it is "caulobacter sRNA CC2171". It matches the Rfam family "caulobacter sRNA CC2171", at positions 1 to 138 of the family's 159-position model. The record is from RNAcentral. Lineage: Bacteria; Pseudomonadati; Pseudomonadota; Alphaproteobacteria; Rhodospirillales; Azospirillaceae.